GUGCUCAUUUCAGCAGCACAUAUACCAAAAUCGGAACAAUACUAGUAAGAUUAGCAUGGCCUCUGCACAAAGAUGACACACAAAUUCGCGAAGCCUUCCCUAUUUUG
This 107-nucleotide small nuclear RNA is filed under the name Microcebus murinus (gray mouse lemur). The record is from RNAcentral. Lineage: Eukaryota; Metazoa; Chordata; Mammalia; Primates; Cheirogaleidae.